AUAGUAAUGGAGCAAACAAAGGUCUUGUUGCUUUGCAUCCUUGCCAGCGUUUGGUAUUUGAAGUAUAAUCUUAACAUAGCACUAUCAAUCUGUGACAAUUGAGACACUCCAAUCAAGUGUAAAAUACAGAGACAGAGAUUUGGACAAUAGAAUUAGAAAAAAAGAUUGAAUUAACAAAUACUUCAUGUCAGUAUUUGUACAUUAUAGUGAAAACGCUUUCAAGGAUCUGUGGAAGUUAUAAAAAUAGAUCAUAUUCUCAGCCACAAAGAAAAAUUUAAUUCACUUCCCGAUGCAGAAACUGUAUGACAAUGUAAUAAAUGUUGAAAUAACAAAAGCUUAAAAAUAAUCAUAUAGAGGUUACAAAACACUUGACAAAAUACUUAUUGAUUUGGAACCAAAGAGGAAUUUUCAAAGGCUGUGGAAAAUGAUGAACAUAAGAUCCUUACUCUGCUACAAACUCAGACUGAAAUGGUUUCAUUAUUACAAAAAACAAAUUUUCCUUAUCCAAUUAGGAGGAAAAAAGGGAAAGAAUUCCCAAGGAAAACAGUAAUAAAAGAUAACCAGGUAUCCUGACUGUUCACUGUUCCCUCUCCCAGCUCUUAGAAGGCAGGGCCAUAUUCCCGUUAUCCAGUAGUGAAAAGUGCAUCUGGCUCACUGUGAGAACUCAAUAGUUAGAAGCACGAUUAUUUUCCCCAAGUUAGGCUUCCUUUCCUUUGGGCUUCCAGAACAGGCUGUUCAAAGCUCUGUUUUAGCAUUUAUUAAGGCACUACAAUUACAUGAGUUUUGCAGUAACACCUGUCUCUUAAAAACAUGCAUUUUGUUUACCAAUCUGAAUGCGCCAAGCGAUUGACAUUAAUUCAUUUAAUCAUUACAACUUUUUUUGAUAUUCCUAUUUUCCUAUUCUCCUGUUGUCUCCGAAAGGUUACGUGAUCAAGGUCAAAGAGCGAAUUCAUCACAAGGCCAGUAUGUGGUUGCACCAGUGCACUUUCAAACACAAGUUCUUUCUACGGUAACAGGUUAAUUUGAAUUCAGAAACAAGAUUAGUUUGUCAUCUUUAUAUCCUCAUCUCCAAACCGAGCUCCCAGCAUGGAAUACCUCAAACAAGUUACGCAUUACUUGCGUUCUGUUGUUUGCAAAGUUUUCUUCUGACCGCUGUAGAAGCAGGAACUAAUUACAAGCGGAGAUUGAGACGCGGAAAGAAACGCAGACGAUCUCGAGGCACUGGGUAACUCUUUCCUUGAUUCUCAUCUCUAUGGUUGACAUGAGGACCAUUCUAUACUCUGGAGGACUCAGCGAGCGUGACCAAUCAGGAGGCCAUUUUGCGGGCACGUGGAUUGAAAUAUGACUUACUAUUGGUUAGUAGUGGUGAAGCCCGCCCAACCACCCUGUCUACUCCUUUAAGUAGAAGCCGGGAAGCCACCUCAGUCUUUCCGCGACUGUGAAGCUGGGCAGCUGCCGGCCGCCCCGAGAACGUCGGAUCUCACGUUCAUCCCAGCCCUCCGGUCGACCCUCUCCUGCACCCCUUAAUAAAAAGUGGUUUGAUUCUA
This is a long non-coding RNA of Manis pentadactyla (Chinese pangolin), 1547 nucleotides long. RefSeq lists it as uncharacterized. Lineage: Eukaryota; Metazoa; Chordata; Mammalia; Pholidota; Manidae. The transcript is spliced from 2 exons. The record is from RefSeq and is a predicted model, not a curated record.